Molecule: ribosomal RNA, 659 nt
Filed under: uncultured fungus
Lineage: Eukaryota; Fungi
Description: eukaryotic LSU rRNA
Rfam family: Eukaryotic large subunit ribosomal RNA
Source: RNAcentral
CCCGCUGAACUUAAGCAUAUCAAUAAGCGGAGGAAAAGAAACUAACAAGGAUUCCCCUAGUAACUGCGAGUGAAGCGGGAAGAACUCAAAUUUAAAAUCUGGCGUGCCUCUGGUCGUCCGAGUUGUAGUCUGGAGAAGUGUUUUCCGUGUUGGACCGUGUAUAAGUCCCUUGGAACAGGGCGUCAUAGAGGGUGAGAAUCCCGUCUUUGACACGGACCACCAAUGCUUUGUGAUGCGCUCUCAAAGAGUCGAGUUGUUUGGGAAUGCAGCUCAAAAUGGGUGGUAAAUUCCAUCUAAAGCUAAAUAUAGGCGAGAGACCGAUAGCGAACAAGUACCGUGAGGGAAAGAUGAAAAGCACUUUGGAAAGAGAGUUAAACAGUACGUGAAAUUGCUGAAAGGGAAACGCUUGAAGUCAGUCGUGUCUGCCAGGACUCAGCCUUGCUUCUGCUUGGUGUACUUUCUGGUCAGAUGGGCCAACAUCAAUUUUGACCGUUGGAGAAAGGCUUUGGGAAUGUGGCACCUUCGGGUGUGUUAUAGCCCUUGGUUGUAUACAACGGUUGGGAUUGAGGACUGCAGCACGCCUUUAUGGCCGGGGUUCGCCUACGUACGUGCUUAGGAUGUUGGCAUAAUGGCUUUAAGCGACCCGUCUUGAAACACGG